RNAcentral lists this non-coding RNA (22 nucleotides) under Rattus norvegicus (Norway rat). Lineage: Eukaryota; Metazoa; Chordata; Mammalia; Rodentia; Muridae. The record is from RNAcentral.
UGAUGGCAACAGGACUGACUGU